Molecule: ribosomal RNA, 402 nt
Filed under: Haaniella saussurei
Lineage: Eukaryota; Metazoa; Arthropoda; Insecta; Phasmatodea; Heteropterygidae
Description: partial 16S ribosomal RNA
Rfam family: Bacterial large subunit ribosomal RNA (bases 253-402)
Source: RNAcentral
AGAAUUGACUGUCUCGAUUUAUUUAUUAUAAUUUAAAUUUUAAGUUAAAAUGCUUAAAUGUUUUUAAAGGACGAGAAGACCCUAUAGAUCUUUAUUAAUUGAUUUAUUUAUUUAUUUAGGUUUUUAUUUAUUAAUAUUUUUAUUAGUUUUGUUGGGGUGACAUGGGGAUAUAGUUAACUCUUUAUUAUUUUUUACAUUGAUUUUUGUAUAGUUUGACCUUUUAUUAUUGUUAUAAGAUAUAGAUACCUUAGGGAUAACAGCGUAAUUCUUUUUGAGAGUUCAUAUUGACAAGGGAGAUUGCGACCUCGAUGUUGGAUUAAGAUAAAUAUUAGGUGUAGGUGCUUAAUUAUUAGGUCUGUUCGACCUUUAAAUUCUUACAUGAUCUGAGUUCAAACCGGAGAA